This 301-nucleotide ribosomal RNA is filed under the name uncultured bacterium. RNAcentral describes it as "partial 16S ribosomal RNA". It matches the Rfam family "Bacterial small subunit ribosomal RNA", at positions 509 to 809 of the family's 1533-position model. The record is from RNAcentral.
CAGCAGCCACGGUAAAACAGAGGGUGCGAGCGUUAAUCGGAUUUACUGGGCGUAAAGCGUGCGUAGGCGGCUUUUUAAGUCGGAUGUGAAAUCCCUGAGCUUAACUUAGGAAUUGCAUUCGAUACUGGGAAGCUAGAGUAUGGGUGAGGAUGGUAGAAUUCCAGGUGUAGCGGUGAAAUGCGUAGAGAUCUGGAGGAAUACCGAUGGCGAAGGCAGCCAUCUGGCCUAAUACUGACGCUGAGGUACGAAAGCAUGGGGAGCAAACAGGAUUAGAGACCCCAGUAGUCCCUGUCUCUUAUAA